GACGAACGCUGGCGGCGUGCUUAACACAUGCAAGUCGAACGAUGAAGCCGGAGCUUGCUCUGGUGAAUUAGUGGCGAACGGGUGAGUAACACGUGAGUAACCUGCCCUCGACUCUGGGAUAACUGCUAGAAAUGGUAGCUAAUACCGGAUACGACCCUCGGAGGCAUCUCCAGGGGGUGGAAAGAAUUUCGGUCAAGGAUGGACUCGCGGCCUAUCAGCUAGUUGGUGAGGUAACGGCUCACCAAGGCGACGACGGGUAGCCGGCCUGAGAGGGUGACCUGCCACACUGGGACUGAGACACGGCCCAGACUCCUACGGGAGGCAGCAGUGGGGAAUAUUGCACAAUGGGCGCAAGCCUGAUGCAGCAACGCCGCGUGAGGGAUGACGGCCUUCGGGUUGUAAACCUCUUUUAGUAGGGAAGAAGCGAAAGUGACGGUAUCUGCAGAAAAAGCACCGGCUAACUACGUGCCAGCCGCCGCCGUAA
Molecule: ribosomal RNA, 484 nt
Filed under: uncultured bacterium
Lineage: Bacteria
Description: partial 16S ribosomal RNA
Rfam family: Bacterial small subunit ribosomal RNA
Source: RNAcentral